UACGUAGGGCGCAAGCGUUGUCCGGAAUUAUUGGGCGUAAAGAGCUCGUAGGCGGUCUGUCGCGUCGGCUGUGAAAUCCCGAGGCUCAACCUCGGGUCUGCAGUCGAUACGAGCAAACUAGAGUGUUGCAGGGGAGACUGGAAUUCCUGGUGUAGCGGUGAAAUGCGCAGAUAUCAGGAGGAACACCGGUGGCGAAGGCGGGUCUCUGGGCAACAACUGACGCUGAGGAGCGAAAGCGUGGGGAGCGAACAGG
This 253-nucleotide ribosomal RNA is filed under the name uncultured bacterium. RNAcentral describes it as "partial 16S ribosomal RNA". It matches the Rfam family "Bacterial small subunit ribosomal RNA", at positions 524 to 776 of the family's 1533-position model. The record is from RNAcentral.